Molecule: ribosomal RNA, 511 nt
Filed under: uncultured microorganism
Description: bacterial SSU rRNA
Rfam family: Bacterial small subunit ribosomal RNA
Source: RNAcentral
GAGUUUGAUCGUGGCUCAGAUUGAACGCUGGCGGCAGGCCUAACACAUGCAAGUCGAGCGGAUGAAGGGAGCUUGCUCCUGGAUUCAGCGGCGGACGGGUGAGUAAUGCCUAGGAAUCUGCCUGGGUAGUGGGGGAUAACGUCCGGAAACGGGCGCUAAUACCGCAUACGUCCUGAGGGAGAAAGUGGGGGAUCUUCGGACCUCACGCUAUCAGAUGAGCCUAGGUCGGAUUAGCUAGUUGGUGGGGUAAAGGCCUACCAAGGCGACGAUCCGUAACUGGUCUGAGAGGAUGAUCAGUCACACUGGAACUGAGACACGGUCCAGACUCCUACGGGAGGCAGCAGUGGGGAAUAUUGGACAAUGGGCGAAAGCCUGAUCCAGCCAUGCCGCGUGUGUGAAGAAGGUCUUCGGAUUGUAAAGCACUUUAAAGUUGGGAGGAAGGGCAGUAAGUUAAUACCUUGCUGUUUUGACGUUACAACAGAAUAAGCACCGGCUAACUUCGUGCCAGCCG